GGGCCCGCACAAGCGGAGGAACAUGUGGUUUAAUUCGAUGAUACGCGAGGAACCUUACCUGGGCUUAAAUGUAGAGUGCAUUCGGCUGAAAGGCUGAUUUCCUUCGGGACUCUCUGCAAGGUGCUGCAUGGUUGUCGUCAGCUCGUGCCGUGAGGUGUCGGGUUAAGUCCCAUAACGAGCGCAACCCUUAUCGUUAGUUGCCAGCGGGUAAUGCCGGGAACUCUAACGAAACUGCCGGUGUAAACCGAGAGGAAGGUGGGGAUGACGUCAAAUCAGCACGGCCCUUAUGUCCAGGGCUACACACGUGUUACAAUGGCCGGUACAGAGGGCAGCUAUGCCGCGAGGCAAUGCGAAUCUCGAAAGCCGGUCUCAGUUCGGAUCGGAGUCUGCAACUCGACUCCGUGAAGCUGGAUUCGCUAGUAAUCGCGCAUCAGCCAUGGCGCGGUGAAUACGUUCCCGGGCCUU
RNAcentral lists this ribosomal RNA (465 nucleotides) under uncultured bacterium. RNAcentral's name for it is "bacterial SSU rRNA". It matches the Rfam family "Bacterial small subunit ribosomal RNA", at positions 917 to 1382 of the family's 1533-position model. The record is from RNAcentral.